UGCCAGACUCCUACGGGAGGCAGCAGUGGGGAAUAUUGCACAAUGGGGGAAACCCUGAUGCAGCGACGCCGCGUGAGCGAUGAAGUAUUUCGGUAUGUAAAGCUCUAUCAGCAGGGAAGAAGAUGACGGUACCUGACUAAGAAGCCCCGGCUAACUACGUGCCAGCAGCCGCGGUAAUACGUAGGGGGCAAGCGUUAUCCGGAUUUACUGGGUGUAAAGGGAGCGUAGACGGCGAUGCAAGCCAGAUGUGAAAGCCCGGGGCUCAACCCCGGGACUGCAUUUGGAACUGUGUGGCUGGAGUGUCGGAGAGGCAGGCGGAAUUCCUAGUGUAGCGGUGAAAUGCGUAGAUAUUAGGAGGAACACCAGUGGCGAAGGCGGCCUGCUGGACGAUGACUGACGUUGAGGCUCGAAAGCGUGGGGAGCAAACAGGAUUAGAUACCCCAGUAACC
This 449-nucleotide ribosomal RNA is filed under the name uncultured bacterium. Its description in RNAcentral is "bacterial SSU rRNA". It matches the Rfam family "Bacterial small subunit ribosomal RNA", at positions 329 to 795 of the family's 1533-position model. The record is from RNAcentral.